CAGGGGAUAGUUUAAAUGUUAGAAUUUCAGCUUUGGGUGUUGAUGGUAGAAUUUAGUGUUCUUUCCCUGA
This 70-nucleotide transfer RNA is filed under the name Leontocebus fuscicollis (brown-headed tamarin). Its description in RNAcentral is "tRNA-Pro". It matches the Rfam family "tRNA". Rfam says of the family: Transfer RNA (tRNA) molecules are approximately 80 nucleotides in length. Their secondary structure includes four short double-helical elements and three loops (D, anti-codon, and T loops). The record is from RNAcentral. Lineage: Eukaryota; Metazoa; Chordata; Mammalia; Primates; Cebidae.